Molecule: ribosomal RNA, 1346 nt
Filed under: uncultured bacterium
Lineage: Bacteria
Description: partial 16S ribosomal RNA
Rfam family: Bacterial small subunit ribosomal RNA
Source: RNAcentral
GACGAACGCUGGCGGCGUGCUUAACACAUGCAAGUCGAACGGAAAGGCCCUGCUUUUGUGGGGUGCUCGAGUGGCGAACGGGUGAGUAACAUGUGAGUAACCUGCCCUUGACUUUGGGAUAACUUCAGGAAACUGGGGCUAAUACCGGAUAGGAGCUCCUGCUGCAUGGUGGGGGUUGGAAAGUUUCGGCGGUUGGGGAUGGACUCGCGGCUUAUCAGCUUGUUGGUGGGGUAGUGGCUUACCAAGGCUUUGACGGGUAGCCGGCCUGAGAGGGUGACCGGCCACAUUGGGACUGAGAUACGGCCCAGACUCCUACGGGAGGCAGCAGUGGGGAAUAUUGCACAAUGGGCGGAAGCCUGAUGCAGCAACGCCGCGUGCGGGAUGACGGCCUUCGGGUUGUAAACCGCUUUCGCCUGUGACGAAGCGUGAGUGACGGUAAUGGGUAAAGAAGCACCGGCUAACUACGUGCCAGCAGCCGCGGUGAUACGUAGGGUGCGAGCGUUGUCCGGAUUUAUUGGGCGUAAAGGGCUCGUAGGUGGUUGAUCGCGUCGGAAGUGUAAUCUUGGGGCUUAACCCUGAGCGUGCUUUCGAUACGGGUUGACUUGAGGAAGGUAGGGGAGAAUGGAAUUCCUGGUGGAGCGGUGGAAUGCGCAGAUAUCAGGAGGAACACCAGUGGCGAAGGCGGUUCUCUGGGCCUUUCCUGACGCUGAGGAGCGAAAGCGUGGGGAGCGAACAGGCUUAGAUACCCUGGUAGUCCACGCUGUAAACGGUGGGUACUAGGUGUGGGGUCCGUUCCACGGGUUCCGUGCCGUAGCUAACGCUUUAAGUACCCCGCCUGGGGAGUACGGCCGCAAGGCUAAAACUCAAAGGAAUUGACGGGGCCCCGCACAAGCGGCGGAGCAUGCGGAUUAAUUCGAUGCAACGCGUAGAACCUUACCUGGGUUUGACAUGGAUCGGGAGUGCUCAGAGAUGGGUGUGCCUCUUUUGGGGUCGGUUCACAGGUGGUGCAUGGCUGUCGUCAGCUCGUGUCGUGAGAUGUUGGGUUAAGUCCCGCAACGAGCGCAACCCUUGUUCACUGUUGCCAGCACGUUAUGGUGGGGACUCAGUGGAGACCGCCGGGGUCAACUCGGAGGAAGGUGGGGAUGACGUCAAGUCAUCAUGCCCCUUAUGUCCAGGGCUUCACGCAUGCUACAAUGGCUGGUACAGAGAGUGGCGAGCCUGUGAGGGUGAGCGAAUCUCGGAAAGCCGGUCUCAGUUCGGAUUGGGGUCUGCAACUCGACCUCAUGAAGUCGGAGUCGCUAGUAAUCGCAGAUCAGCAACGCUGCGGUGAAUACGUUCCCGGGGCU